GUCGUAAAUGAACGUAAUGACGUGUUUGUCUGUGGGAACUGAGUUGAGCUGGUGAUCACGUCCGUUCUACCGUGCCAUAAAAAAGACAGGGAGGGGGGGAUUCCUGCUGUGAGUUUGGAACGGCCCGAGCUGGCAGUAUAAGUACACCAGCGUCCAAAUAGUCCCUCCGAUUUCCUUUUUUAUCUACUUUUCCAUAACCCCGUGGAUGACGUCACGAGAUAAGGAAAGGUGUUAUGAGAGGAGUAAAGGAAACGGCCAAUCGGGCACUUCAACUAGGUGACGUAAUAAUCUGCGAAGCAUGCACUUCGAACACGCGCAUGAUUUCAAAGGUGACGACGGAGGAGGAUAAGCCGCACAUGUCGGAGCACACAUACUCCACACAACAAUGUCGGGAAGUUUGCUUUGUCCCAAAACAACGAGUAUGUCCACGCUUGCGCACUCCCCAAGUUCGUUCUCCAAGUCUGGUCCCACGAGUCCGUACCCAGGAGUUCACAAGUACGGAGUAUGCAUACUUAGAAUUGAGAAAUGACAUGGUGUCCAGUUGGAAUUCCGAGGCUAUACUUUGUGUGUAUGUGGCGGAAUUCUGAGACUAUACUGUGUGUGUAUGUGACAGAAUUCCGAGUUCUGGAGGAAUUCCGGCUUUUAUCCAGACCCGAAAAGUACACGCACAUCAGCGCGCACACAUACGCACACAAUGUGUCUGUACAUACACACAUAGCUUGAUGAACCCUCUGAUUAGCACAGAAUCUGCUCUUUAUAGAAGCACAGAGUCAAAAGCAUCAUAUACAGAAAGGAGUUCUGCAUUGGAGCUGUCAAUCAAUGCUCAACGAGGAGGAAACCCUGUUCUUCAGCUUCCUUUUUCUGACUCUUUUUGCAAAAUAUCAAUUAUAUCCAGAUGCAUCUUUUCCCUCCUGAGAUUACAAAUUAACUGUCCUCUGCUUCAUACCUCUUACAUUGCAUAAAGACAUGUUUAACUGUUUCUUGCUGUUCACAGUACUCUCACCCACUACUCUCGUGCUUUGCCAUUUUGAAUGAAGUAUUAUUUAAUCCACAAUGCCCAAAUCUUAGUUUUUAUAUUACUGUUUCACAUCUUUGAUUUAACAUAGGAAACCCUCCUCCCUCCUCUCAUCAUUUAUAGGAGGGGCGGGGACAACAGUUAAAGUUAGUGACAUAAUAUGUCUCAGUCAAUUGCAAAAUUCAGUUGUAAUAGUCUGCGUUCAACCUUAGAGGGCAGUGAUUGACAGUUUACAAUUAAAUACACAAAAUUUAAAUAUGUUUACUAAAAUGUUAAAAGUUGGACUAGGAUCAAUCAAGAUGACUACUUAAUACCCAAAUGUAUUCAGCAGGAAAAAAAGUGGGUUGAGGUUUAGUUACUCUUUAAGAAGGAAAAAAAAAAAGGUAAUCGCAUACAUCUAUAAAAGUGCCUAUUUUUAAUGAAAAAAAAAAAAAGUGCAAUUAACCUCCAAGCUAAAAUUUAUUGAGGAGUGAGGUAGUUAUGACUCUGUGUUAAUGUUUUGAAUUUUUUAAAUGAAAAUUAUCAAUUGGACAAUCUCUCAUAUUUACUAAGUGUUACUGAUUAAGUAUUAUCCUUCUUUAAAAUAAAUAAAUACAUUGAAUAGAUAAACGCUUUAAA
This 1633-nucleotide long non-coding RNA is filed under the name Gouania willdenowi (blunt-snouted clingfish). RNAcentral's name for it is "lncRNA (ENSGWIG00000024872.1)". The record is from RNAcentral. Lineage: Eukaryota; Metazoa; Chordata; Actinopteri; Blenniiformes; Gobiesocidae.